AAAAACAAAGCUUUUGAAAAGUUUUCUUAAGAAAUUUUGAUUUCUCUCUUUUAUUCUGGAGGUUUUUGUUGGAUUUUCAGAGGUUGAAGAACAGGGCUUGAUUUCCUUCAGGGUUGUUUUAAGCUGAUUGUUUGCCUAUUCUUGCUUUGGUUCUAUUCUAGUGUUUGAACCUUCAGUUCUUUUUUGAACCAAGCUCACUCGAUUGUGGGCUGUUUGUUGUUGCUUGUUUUUCUUCUUCAAAGAUUCAGAAAGUUCUCCUUCUUUUCCUUGGUUUUCUUUGCUGCUACUACUGUUAAGGUAUGUGUAUUUAGUUUCAAAUGAUGUAUAUUGGGUGUUCCAUUGCUAUGAAAAUCUCAGUUUUUGUUUGUUCAUAUUUAUGUGAUACUGAGUGCCAUUUUCUUACUUCUGAGCCGAGUUUUGGUCUCGAAGUGUCUGAUGUGAGUAAUGUCUGAAACCAUACUGAAAAUUUGAGUAAUAAUAGAAACAAUCAUGAAAAGGCAGCCAUUUGAGUGAGCAAUGUGUGUUUGCUAAGAUUUGAUUUGUUCCUAACUUGUAAUGUGUUUUUCAUAUCGUGUUCUGUUUCAACAGAUCUAUGGCUUAGGGUUGAACUACCAUCAUUGUUAGCAUGAAAUUUAGGAGUUUGUCA
RNAcentral lists this long non-coding RNA (646 nucleotides) under Nicotiana tabacum (common tobacco). RNAcentral describes it as "long non-coding RNA (NTAB_LNC000110)". The record is from RNAcentral. Lineage: Eukaryota; Viridiplantae; Streptophyta; Magnoliopsida; Solanales; Solanaceae.